RNAcentral lists this ribosomal RNA (480 nucleotides) under uncultured bacterium. Its description in RNAcentral is "partial 16S ribosomal RNA". It matches the Rfam family "Bacterial small subunit ribosomal RNA", at positions 28 to 507 of the family's 1533-position model. The record is from RNAcentral.
GACGAACGCUGGCGGCGUGCUUAACACAUACAAGUCGAACGAUGAAGAAAAGAAUCGAAGCUUCGGCAGAAAUUCAUUUCGGAUUAGUGGCAGACGGGUGAGUAACGCGUGAGCAACCUACCUCUUACAAAGGGAUAGCCUCGGGAAACCGGGAUUAAUACCAUAUAACAUUGCGACGAAGCAUUUCGAUGCAAUCAAAGCUACGGCGGUAAGAGAUGGGCUCGCGUCCCAUUAACCGGAUGGUGAGGUAACGGCUCACCAUAGUGACGAUGGGUAACCGGGCUGAGAGGGUGAACGGUCACACUGGAACUGAGACACGGUCCAGACUCCUACGGGAGGCAGCAGUGGGGAAUAUUGCACAAUGGAGGGAACUCUGAUGCAGCGACGCCGCGUGAGUGAUGAAGGAAUUCGUUUCGUAAAACUCUGUUCUAUGGGAAGAAAAGGACUGUACCAUAGGAGAAAGCUCCGGCUAAAUACGUG